Molecule: ribosomal RNA, 253 nt
Filed under: uncultured bacterium
Lineage: Bacteria
Description: partial 16S ribosomal RNA
Rfam family: Bacterial small subunit ribosomal RNA
Source: RNAcentral
UACGAGGGGUCCUAGCGUUGUUCGGAAUCAUUGGGCGUAAAGGGUGUGUAGGUGGCCAUGUAAGUCAGGUGUGAAAGCCCCGGGCUCAACCCGGGAAGUGCACUUGAUACUGCGUGGCUUGAGUACCGAAGAGGGUAGUGGAAUUCCAGGUGUAGUGGUGAAAUACGUAGAUAUCUGGAGGAACACCGGUGGCGAAGGCGGCUACCUGGUCGAGUACUGACACUGAGACACGAAAGCAUGGGGAUCAAACAGG